Molecule: ribosomal RNA, 493 nt
Filed under: uncultured Eubacteriales bacterium
Lineage: Bacteria; Bacillati; Bacillota; Clostridia; Eubacteriales
Description: bacterial SSU rRNA
Rfam family: Bacterial small subunit ribosomal RNA
Source: RNAcentral
AGAGUUUGAUCCUGGCUCAGGAUAAACGACUGGCGGCGCACAUAAGACAUGCAAGUCGAACGAAUUUAGGCCCAUUCAUUACGAUUGGGUACGGUUAGUGGCGGACUGGUGAGUAACACGUAAGCAACCUGCCUGUAAGAGGGGAAUAACAGUGAGAAAUCAUUGCUAAUACCGCAUAUGCUCACACUAACACAUGUAAGAGUGAGGAAAGGAGCAAUCCACUUACAGAUGGGCUUGCGUCUGAUUAGCUAGUUGGUGGGGUAAAGGCCUACCAAGGCGACGAUCAGUAGCCGGACUGAGAGGUUGAACGGCCACAUUGGGACUGAGAUACGGCCCAGACUCCUACGGGAGGCAGCAGUCGGGAAUAUUGCGCAAUGGAGGAAACUCUGACGCAGUGGCGCCGCGUAUAGGGAGAAGUUUUCGGAAUGUAAACUAUUGUCGUUAGGGAAGAGAAAGGACGGUACCUAAGGAGGAAGCCCCGGCUAACUAUGUG